AGGGUUUGAUUAUGGCUCAGGAUGAACGCUGGCGGCGUGCUUAACACAUGCAAGUCGAACGAAGUUUUUUGAUUGAAGCCUUCGGGUGAAUUUUGAAAAACUUAGUGGCGGACGGGUGAGUAACGCGUGGGUAACCUGCCUCAUACAGGGGGAUAACAGUUAGAAAUGACUGCUAAUACCGCAUAAGCGCACAGCAUCGCAUGAUGCCGUGUGAAAAACUCCGGUGGUAUGAGAUGGACCCGCGUCUGAUUAGCUGGUUGGUGAGGUAACGGCCCACCAAGGCGACGAUCAGUAGCCGGCCUGAGAGGGUGACCGGCCACAUUGGGACUGAGACACGGCCCAA
RNAcentral lists this ribosomal RNA (343 nucleotides) under uncultured bacterium. RNAcentral describes it as "bacterial SSU rRNA". It matches the Rfam family "Bacterial small subunit ribosomal RNA", at positions 8 to 334 of the family's 1533-position model. The record is from RNAcentral.